CCUACGGGGGGCAGCAGUGAGGAAUAUUGGUCAAUGGACGAGAGUCUGAACCAGCCAAGUAGCGUGAAGGAGGACUGCCCUAUGGGUUGUAAACUUCUUUUAUAAAGGAAUAAAACGAGGCACGUGUGCCUUGUUGCAUGUACUUUAUGAAUAAGGAUCGGCUAACUCCGUGCCAGCAGCCGCGGUAAUACGGAGGAUCCGAGCGUUAUCCGGAUUUAUUGGGUUUAAAGGGAGCGUAGAUGGGUUGUUAAGUCAGUUGUGAAAGUUUGCGGCUCAACCGUAAAACUGCAAUUGAUACUGGCAGUCUUGAGUAGAGUUGAGGUAGGCGGAAUUCGUGGUGUAGCGGUGAAAUGCUUAGAUAUCGCGCAGAACCCCGAUUGCGAAGGCAGCUUGCUAAACUGUGACUGACAUUGAUGCUCGAAAGUGUGGGUAUCAAACAGGAUUAGAUACCCCUGUAGUC
RNAcentral lists this ribosomal RNA (460 nucleotides) under uncultured bacterium. Its description in RNAcentral is "partial 16S ribosomal RNA". It matches the Rfam family "Bacterial small subunit ribosomal RNA", at positions 338 to 795 of the family's 1533-position model. The record is from RNAcentral.